AUCACUGCUAAUCUAUCACUGCUAAUCUAUCGCUGCUAAUCUAUCACUGCUAAUCUAUUGCUGUCAACCUAUCUACCACUGCCAAUCUAUCUAUCACUGCCAAUCUAUAUAGGGUAAAUCAUGGUCCCAUUUGGUCUCAUUUUGUAAAAUGGAAUCAAAUGGAAUCAGAAUCAUUAAUUUAUUAGUAAAACAUAAUCUGAGACUAGAUUUAUAAUAUAAACAGUGUAAAGUAACUAAUUUGCUAAAUACUAUAUGAGAUCAGAACUAAGAUAUCUAAUAAUAAAACUGAGGAAAAAUUUGAUCUCAGUUUCAUACAUGGUCACACAGCCAGUCUAUAAAGUACUGAG
Molecule: small RNA, 347 nt
Filed under: Histoplasma capsulatum
Lineage: Eukaryota; Fungi; Ascomycota; Eurotiomycetes; Onygenales; Ajellomycetaceae
Also listed under: 1 other name
Description: hypothetical RNA
Source: RNAcentral